CCUUUUUUUUUUUUUAAUUAUUGUUAAAUUUUCUCAAGUGAAUGUAUUAGUUAUCUUCUUAGUUCUUACUGCAAUACAUAACCGUACCAUGUGAGAUAAAGGGGAUGAAAGUAGAACCAAGAUGAAUCUCAGAUACAUUAACUCCACAAAAAAACUACAUUGACAAGGGUUAGCCUUGGAGCACCUUGUGGAAGAAGCAAUUGGUCCGCCAAGGAAGACCCUUAUAAGUUGUAUAACUAUGGCUCUGUGCCCAAAUUAUCUGCCGAGUCAUUGAAGGAUUCAGUAAUUUUGCCUAGUCUGGCCUUGACAAACAAGAUAGACAUCAAUUACUGUUUCAUUUAUGGACCUAAGAGUGGGGAUAUUUCUUUCCAAGGAUUAUACUAAUAGUGUCUUUCUUAAACAACUGUGCUGCUUAUUUAGAGCACAAUCGCAGUGACAAGCAUGAAGAGUUCCAUUCUUAUUGGAUGGCUCUUUGCUCGUCCAAGGUCCCAUAGCGCAUUUGGCUGAGAAGCAUAAACAUGUCAGUUUAAAUGGAUCUUGUUAAAUACACCCUGCAGUGCUUCUUCCAAGUCGCCUUGUCAAUGUGGCAUCUUUUAUUGGCAUGCUUUGUAGUGAAUUAACCAAGAAUUUUGUGAUAGAGUUGUGUAGACAGGGAAUGCACUUGUAAACAUCUUGUGCUUUUCAAAUGGGAAACAUCAUUAACGAGAUUUUGUUUGGGAAAUUCUUUUCAAACAUGCAUAUGCACAUGAAUGUUUUGACAUUUAGGAUCACAUCCACAUAUUUGUUUAACGGUGUUGUCUUGUUUGGAAACAAAGAUUAACUCAAGUUGAUUUCUGAGAAGAAAUAAAAUGCUGAUAUUACAUGCAACACUUCUGGAAUAGGUAAAUGCAGCUAUUCAGCAAGAAUUGCCCAUGGUGAUGGCAAAGAUGAAACUUUAUCUGCAGAACACAUCAACAAGAACAAUACUUUUUAAACCGAUAAA
RNAcentral lists this unclassified non-coding RNA (982 nucleotides) under Hevea brasiliensis (rubber tree). Lineage: Eukaryota; Viridiplantae; Streptophyta; Magnoliopsida; Malpighiales; Euphorbiaceae. The record is from RNAcentral.